Molecule: ribosomal RNA, 431 nt
Filed under: uncultured bacterium
Lineage: Bacteria
Description: partial 16S ribosomal RNA
Rfam family: Bacterial small subunit ribosomal RNA
Source: RNAcentral
AACGAACGCUGGCGGCAGGCUUAACACAUGCAAGUCGAGCGCCCCGCCAGGGGAGUGGCAGACGGGUGAGUAACGCGUGGGAACGUACCUUUUGGUGCGGAACAACUCCGGGAAACUGGAGCUACUACCGGAUAAGCCCUAAAGGGGAAAGAUUUAUCGCCGAACGAUCGGCCCGCGUCUGAUUAGCUAGUUGGCGAGGUAACGGCGCACCAAGGCGACGGUCAGUAGCUGGUCUGAGAGGAUGAUCAGCCACACUGGGGCUGAGACACGGCCCAGACUCCUACGGGAGGCAGCAGUGGGGAAUAUUGGACAAUGGGCGCAAGCCUGAUCCAGCCAUGCCGCGUGAGUGAUGAAGGCCUUAGGGUUGUAAAGCUCUUUUGUCCGGGAAGAUAAUGACGGUACCGGAAGAAUAAGCCCCGGCUAACUUCGUG